UACGUAGGUGACAAGCGUUGUCCGGAUUUACUGGGCGUAAAGAGCGCGCAGGCGGUCGAUCAAGUCGAGUGUGAAAGCCCCCGGCUCAACUGGGGAGGGUCAUUCGAUACUGAUCGACUCGAAGGCAGGAGAGGGUAGUGGAAUUCCAGGUGUAGCGGUGAAAUGCGUAGAUAUCUGGAGGAAUACCGGUGGCGAAGGCGGCAUCCUGGACCGACAUUGACGCUGAGGAGCGAAAGCUAGGGGAGCAAACGGG
Molecule: ribosomal RNA, 253 nt
Filed under: uncultured bacterium
Lineage: Bacteria
Description: partial 16S ribosomal RNA
Rfam family: Bacterial small subunit ribosomal RNA
Source: RNAcentral